RNAcentral lists this ribosomal RNA (788 nucleotides) under Campylobacter ureolyticus. Its description in RNAcentral is "bacterial SSU rRNA". It matches the Rfam family "Bacterial small subunit ribosomal RNA", at positions 418 to 1220 of the family's 1533-position model. The record is from RNAcentral. Lineage: Bacteria; Pseudomonadati; Campylobacterota; Epsilonproteobacteria; Campylobacterales; Campylobacteraceae.
UCGGAGCGUAAACUCCUUUUAUCAGGAAAGAAUAAUGACGGUACCUGAUGAAUAAGCACCGGCUAACUCCGUGCCAGCAGCCGCGGUAAUACGGGGGGUGCAAGCGUUACUCGGAAUCACUGGGCGUAAAGGACGCGUAGGCGGAUUAUCAAGUCUUUUGUGAAAUCUAGUGGCUUAACCACUAAACUGCUUAGGAAACUGAUAGUCUAGAGUAGGGGAGAGGUAGAUGGAAUUCUUGGUGUAGGGGUAAAAUCCGUAGAGAUCAAGAAGAAUACCCAUUGCGAAAGCGAUCUGCUGGAACCUAACUGACGCUGAGGCGUGAAAGCGUGGGUAGCAAACAGGAUUAGAUACCCUGGUAGUCCACGCCCUAAACGAUGUAUACUAGUUGUUGCUUUGCUAGUCAAGGCAGUAAUGCAGCUAACGCAUUAAGUAUACCGCCUGGGGAGUACGGUCGCAAGAUUAAAACUCAAAGGAAUAGACGGGGACCCGCACAAGCGGUGGAGCAUGUGGUUUAAUUCGAAGAUACGCGAAGAACCUUACCUGGACUUGACAUCCUAAAAACAUCUAAGAGAUUAGAAAGUGCUAGUUUACUAGAAUUUAGUGACAGGUGCUGCACGGCUGUCGUCAGCUCGUGUCGUGAGAUGUUGGGUUAAGUCCCGCAACGAGCGCAACCCACGUGUUUAGUUGCUAACAGCUCGGCUGAGCACUCUAAACAGACUGCCUUCGUAAGGAGGAGGAAGGUGUGGACGACGUCAAGUCAUCAUGGCCCUUAUGUCCAGGGCGACACA